This 245-nucleotide ribosomal RNA is filed under the name uncultured Ktedonobacter sp. Its description in RNAcentral is "partial 16S ribosomal RNA". It matches the Rfam family "Bacterial small subunit ribosomal RNA", at positions 524 to 768 of the family's 1533-position model. The record is from RNAcentral. Lineage: Bacteria; Bacillati; Chloroflexota; Ktedonobacteria; Ktedonobacterales; Ktedonobacteraceae.
UACGUAGGGGGCAAGCGUUGUCCGGAGUUAUUGGGCGUAAAGCGCACGCAGGCGGUUUCGUACGUCCGGAGUGACAGUUCCCGGCUCAACUGGGAAAGGUCUUCGGAAACGGCGAGACUUGAGGGCUUCAGAGGGACACGGAAUUCCGGGUGGAGUGGUGAAAUGCGUAGAGAUCCGGAGGAACACCAAUGGCGAAGGCAGUGUCCUGGGAAGCAUCUGACGCUCAGGUGCGAAAGCUAGGGGAG